AGACGAACCGUCCAAACGUUAUUCGGAAUCACUGGGCUUAAAGGGUGCGUAGGCGGCCGUGCAAGUCGGGUGUGAAAGCCCUCAGCUCAACUGAGGAACUGCGCCCGAUACUGUGCGGCUAGAGGGAGACAGAGGUGAGCGGAACUUGCGGUGGAGCGGUGAAAUGCGUUGAUAUCGCAAGGAACACCAGUAGCGAAAGCGGCUCACUGGGUCUCUUCUGACGCUCAGGCACGAAAGCUAGGGGAGCGAAGAGGAUUAGAUACCCUCGUAGUCCUAGCUGUAAACGUUGAGCACUGGGUCGGAGCGUCCUCCAUAGCGUUCCGGCCGUAGCGAAAGUGUUAAGUGCUCCGCCUGGGGAGUAUGGUCGCAAGGCUGAA
This 377-nucleotide ribosomal RNA is filed under the name uncultured bacterium. Its description in RNAcentral is "bacterial SSU rRNA". It matches the Rfam family "Bacterial small subunit ribosomal RNA", at positions 523 to 898 of the family's 1533-position model. The record is from RNAcentral.